GGGAGUUGGGCUCCAACAGAAAGAGGCUACCGAAGUACAACAGCUCUUUGGUGACCUUUGCGGAUGUGGCGGUAUAUUUCACCGAGGAGGAAUGGAAACUGUUGACAAAAAAGCAGAAACUUAUGUACAGUUAUAUGAUGAUGGAAAAUUAUGACAAUCUGGCCUCUGUGGAAGAACAUUUGAGUCAUGAGAAAGUCCACACAGGAAAGAAGUCACAUAAAUGCCAG
This is a long non-coding RNA of Sceloporus undulatus (fence lizard), 227 nucleotides long. RefSeq lists it as uncharacterized. Lineage: Eukaryota; Metazoa; Chordata; Lepidosauria; Squamata; Phrynosomatidae. The record is from RefSeq and is a predicted model, not a curated record. The transcript has 3 exons.